CCUACGGGAGGCAGCAGUAGGGAAUUUUCCGCAAUGGGCGAAAGCCUGACGGAGCAAUACCGCGUGAGGGAAGAAUGCCUACGGGUUGUAAACCUCUUUUUUCAGGGAGGAACAUAAUGACGUGUACCUGAAGAAUAAGCAUCGGCUAACUCCGUGCCAGCAGCCGCGGUAAGACGGAGGAUGCAAGUGUUAUCCGGAAUCACUGGGCGUAAAGCGUCUGUAGGUGGUUUAAUAAGUCAACUGUUAAAUCUUGAGGCUCAACCUCAAAAUCGCAGUCGAAACUAUUAGACUAGAGUAUAGUAGGGGUAAAGGGAAUUUCCAGUGGAGCGGUGAAAUGCGUAGAGAUUGGAAAGAACACCGAUGGCGAAAGCACUUUACUAGGCUAUUACUGACACUCAGAGACGAAAGCUAGGGUAGCAAAUGGGAUUAGAUACCCCAGUAGUCCUAGCUGUAAACUAUGGAUACUAGAUGUUGAACAGAUCGACCUGUGCAGUAUCAAAAGCUAAACGCGUUAAGUAUCCCGCCUGGGAAGUAUGCCGCAAGGGUGAAACUCAAAGGAAAUUGACGG
This 568-nucleotide ribosomal RNA is filed under the name uncultured bacterium. RNAcentral describes it as "bacterial SSU rRNA". It matches the Rfam family "Bacterial small subunit ribosomal RNA", at positions 338 to 916 of the family's 1533-position model. The record is from RNAcentral.